This 72-nucleotide transfer RNA is filed under the name Fusarium mangiferae. It matches the Rfam family "tRNA". From Rfam's summary of the family: Transfer RNA (tRNA) molecules are approximately 80 nucleotides in length. Their secondary structure includes four short double-helical elements and three loops (D, anti-codon, and T loops). Further hydrogen bonds mediate the characteristic L-shaped molecular structure. tRNAs have two regions of fundamental functional importance: the anti-codon, which is responsible for specific mRNA codon recognition, and the 3' end, to which the tRNAs corresponding amino acid is attached (by aminoacyl-tRNA synthetases). tRNAs cope with the degeneracy of the genetic code in two manners: having more than one tRNA (with a specific anti-codon) for a particular amino acid; and 'wobble' base-pairing, i.e. permitting non-standard base-pairing at the 3rd anti-codon position. The record is from RNAcentral. Lineage: Eukaryota; Fungi; Ascomycota; Sordariomycetes; Hypocreales; Nectriaceae. RNAcentral also lists the same sequence under 17 other names.
GGGGGGCUGGCGCAACGGUAGCGCGUUAGAUUCCAGUCCUAAAGGUUAUCAGUUCAAAUCUGGUGUCCCUCA